Molecule: ribosomal RNA, 450 nt
Filed under: uncultured bacterium
Lineage: Bacteria
Description: bacterial SSU rRNA
Rfam family: Bacterial small subunit ribosomal RNA
Source: RNAcentral
UCUCCAGACUCCUACGGGAGGCAGCAGUGGGGAAUAUUGCACAAUGGGGGAAACCCUGAUGCAGCGACGCCGCGUGAGUGAAGAAGUAUUUCGGUAUGUAAAGCUCUAUCAGCAGGGAAGAAAAUGACGGUACCUGACUAAGAAGCCCCGGCUAACUACGUGCCAGCAGCCGCGGUAAUACGUAGGGGGCAAGCGUUAUCCGGAUUUACUGGGUGUAAAGGGAGCGUAGACGGCCAGACAAGUCAGAAGUGAAAGCCCAGGGCUCAACCCUGGGACUGCUUUUGAAACUGCCGGGCUGGAGUGCAGGAGAGGUAAGCGGAAUUCCUAGUGUAGCGGUGAAAUGCGUAGAUAUCAGGAGGAACACCGGCGGCGAAGGCGGCCUGCUGGACCGCGACUGACGUUGAGGCUCGAAAGCGUGGGGAGCGAACAGGAUUAGAUACCCUUGUAACA